CCCUUAGACGUUCUGGGCCGCACGCGCGCUACACUGACCAGUGCAACAAGCAUCCGUCCUUGGCCGACAGGCCCGGGCAAUCUUUGAACGCUGGUCGUGAUGGGGAUAGACUUUUGCAAUUUUUGGUCUUCAACGAGGAAUUCCUAGUAAACGCAAGUCAUCAACUUGCAUUGAUUACGUCCCUGCCCUUUGUACGCACCGCCCGUCGCACCUACCGAUUGAAUGGUCCGGUGAAGCCUCCGGAUUGGCGCGCACCUCGGUGCCGCCGAGAAGUUGGCUAAACCUUACCAUUUAGAGGAAGGUGAANUCGUANCA
This 315-nucleotide ribosomal RNA is filed under the name uncultured eukaryote. Its description in RNAcentral is "partial 18S ribosomal RNA". It matches the Rfam family "Eukaryotic small subunit ribosomal RNA", at positions 1470 to 1796 of the family's 1831-position model. The record is from RNAcentral.